GUCCCAUAACGAACGCGCAACCCUUACCUUUAGUUGCCAUCAGGUAAUGCGUGGGACUCUAAGGAACUGCCUACGCAAGUAGUGAGGAAGGCGGGGAUGACGUCAAAUCAGCACGGCCCUUACGUCCAGGGCUACACACGUGCUACAAUGGCCGAUACAGAGGGCAGCUACCUGGUGACAGGAUGCAAAUCUCCAAAGUCGGUCUCAGUUCGGAUCGGAGUCUGCAACCCGACUCCGUGAAGUUGGAUUCGCUAGUAAUCGCGCAUCAGCCAUGGCGCGGUGAAUACGUUCCCGGGCCUU
RNAcentral lists this ribosomal RNA (300 nucleotides) under uncultured Sphingobacteriales bacterium. Its description in RNAcentral is "bacterial SSU rRNA". It matches the Rfam family "Bacterial small subunit ribosomal RNA", at positions 1084 to 1382 of the family's 1533-position model. The record is from RNAcentral. Lineage: Bacteria; Pseudomonadati; Bacteroidota; Sphingobacteriia; Sphingobacteriales.